Non-coding RNA from Dama dama (fallow deer), 1062 nucleotides. The record is from the annotation of a RefSeq genome assembly. NCBI's taxonomy places the organism in Eukaryota, Metazoa, Chordata, Mammalia, Artiodactyla, Cervidae.
CUAUAUCUUCUGGUAUCGACAUUUCCCCAACCAGGGACCACAAUAUAUCAUUCAAGGAUAUAAGACAAACGUGGAAAAUGAAGUGGCAUCUCUGUUCAUUCCUACUGACAGGAAGAGAGAAGAUACAGGUGCCGGGAAGCAGCAGGCGGCGUUUGUAAAACGCUGUGCUCGUGGGGAACAUAGUCUCUGGGGUGGUGCCCUAUCUCCAGCAGAGGUGAGCUGCAGAAGAGCCCCCAUCCAGCCCAGCGGGAGCCAUGGCCUCUGCGCACAUCUGGACACUUGGGAUUCUGUUUAUGCUCAGUGGACUGAGAGCUCAGUCGGUGACUCAGCCAGAAGAUCAGGUCCCUGUCGCGGAAGGGGAUCCAGUGACUGUGAAGUGCACCUAUUCAGUGUCGGGGAGCCCUUAUCUUUUUUGGUAUGUCCAACAUCGCAAUCAAGGUCUCCAGUUCCUUCUGAAAUACAUCGGAGGGGACAAGUUGGUUCAAGGCAACUAUGGAUUUGAGGCUGAAUUUAACAAGAGCCAAACCUCUUUCCACCUGAAGAAACCAUCUGUUGCAGGGAGUGACUCUGCCUUGUACUUCUGUGCUGUGAGCGACACAGUGGUGGGGGCCGCCGGCAGAGCUGAAUACAAACCCUUGAGCACAGAACACCAUGCUCCUGAAGCCUUGAUAUCCCUCCACAAGGUGGUGUUGUGGCUCCAGGAUUUGUCCUUCAUUAUAACUAAGAGAAUUUUUUUUUUCUAAACCCACAAAAUUUGUUCAUUUGACAGGUAUAUAUUGAAAUAAAUGCUUGUGUGCCAGCUACUCUGCUGAGCACUGAUCAUAAAGAGGUGAAAGAAAGCAUCCUUGAUCUGCAGAUGCCAGGUGUGAUCCCAAACAUUUGUGAAGCCCUUUAAUUCUCACAACUCUCCUCAUGAGCUUCACUUUAUAGUUGAAGGCAUUCAAGCUCAGAGAAUUUACCUGUCUUAAGUCACAGAACUGCUCAACAAUAAAUUGAAACCCAGGCAGCCUGCCUCUCAGAAGUGUAGUCUAACCACUCCACUUCUCCUCAGCCUAUAGGCUC